CCAGAUUCUCACAGACUACAAGAACCCCAAUACCACCCCCGCUUCUACUGAUAGACAGGCUCAAUUUCAAGGCGUCAAAUUACAAAGUCAAAUUUCGUUUAGGUCCUAUUUGACAUCUUUUGACAUACACUGCCUGGCCAAAAAAAAGCCGCCA
Molecule: long non-coding RNA, 154 nt
Organism: Xiphophorus hellerii (green swordtail)
Lineage: Eukaryota; Metazoa; Chordata; Actinopteri; Cyprinodontiformes; Poeciliidae
Exons: 2
Source: RefSeq, a predicted model, not a curated record